Oryza meridionalis is the source of this 192-nucleotide non-coding RNA. The record is from Rfam. NCBI's taxonomy places the organism in Eukaryota, Viridiplantae, Streptophyta, Magnoliopsida, Poales, Poaceae.
UUUAAGCGUCGCUAUUAGUUUCCAUGUUCAACAUUGAUCGUCCAUCUUAUUCGAAAUUUGUUUAUGAUUAGUAUCUUUAUUAUUAUUAGAUGAUAAAAUAUGGAUAAUACUAUAUACGUAACUUAUGUUUUUAUAAUUUUUUAAACAAGACGAAUGAUUAAAGUUGAACACGAAAACUUAGUUCCCAUUCAU